CAGGAGGCUGUAUGGGUGGCUUAGAGCUCCCAAACACCCCACUUACAGCCCACACAGACAAGGGCCUGGUCAGAAUACUCUAGGGAGAGUUCAAUUCCAAAGACACUGGGCUGCCGUCUGUCUCCAGUAUCGUGGUAUCGUGGUAACUUUUGCGUACCUGUUACAAAAUGCUGUGGGCACCUUGGUCGGGACUGGGAAAAUAACCUUGACUGUCAGAGACAAAUCGCAGCCUCCUAACCCUUCGCCGCAGCGAGCCGCCUGACUGCCGGUGGCAGGAGGUGACCCGGAGGCGGCAGACAGCGAGGCGGCCAGGCCAUGCGCGCGGUCGCGGGCCACUCGGGGGCCUAACUGUCACCGGGCAGGGCCUCCUGGGAGCCGUGGCUGGUG
Molecule: long non-coding RNA, 387 nt
Filed under: Fukomys damarensis (Damara mole-rat)
Lineage: Eukaryota; Metazoa; Chordata; Mammalia; Rodentia; Bathyergidae
Description: lncRNA (ENSFDAG00000029432.1)
Source: RNAcentral